UAAACAUACCUGGUACCCCAGUCAUCCAUGUACAGUAAACAUACCAGGUGCCCCAGUCAUCCAUGUACAAUAAACAUACCAGGUACCCCAGUCAUCCAUGUACAAUAAACAUACCAGGUACCCCAGUCCUCCAUGUACAGUAAACAUACCAGGUGCCCCAGUCAUCCAUGUACAAUAAACAUACCAGGUACCCCAGUCAUCCAUGUACAAUAAACAUACCAGGUACCCCAGUCAUCCAUGUACAAUAAACAUACCAGG
Haliotis rubra (blacklip abalone) is the source of this 258-nucleotide long non-coding RNA. RefSeq lists it as uncharacterized. NCBI's taxonomy places the organism in Eukaryota, Metazoa, Mollusca, Gastropoda, Lepetellida, Haliotidae. The transcript is spliced from 3 exons. The record is from RefSeq and is a predicted model, not a curated record.